Long non-coding RNA from Fundulus heteroclitus (mummichog), 223 nucleotides. RefSeq lists it as uncharacterized. Lineage: Eukaryota; Metazoa; Chordata; Actinopteri; Cyprinodontiformes; Fundulidae. The record is from RefSeq and is a predicted model, not a curated record. The transcript is spliced from 3 exons.
AAAGAAGCACACCUUUGAAAUGAGCUUACGAAGGACCAAGCAGUUGCUAAGCAGUUGCUUCACCACAUGGAAGUGAUAAUGACAUCAAUAAACCGUAGAAUACCACCUAAACGCGAUGCAGCUGAACAUGCAGCAACGGCCAGUGACAAGACAGGAAGGUUGGAAGUGAAGUUCAUCAAUCAUUAUAAAGGACGAGGUGUGUUCGCCACGACUCCUUUUAAAA